GAUCUUCCCCCGGCCCCCGGCGGGACUGCCGACUGGGCCGGACUGCCCUCAGUGCGGCCCGACCGCGGUCCGCCCGGGCGGCGGGCUCACCUCGGGUGCCCGGGUCCGCGGCGACGUCGGUGACC
Molecule: ribosomal RNA, 125 nt
Filed under: Protopterus dolloi (slender lungfish)
Lineage: Eukaryota; Metazoa; Chordata; Ceratodontiformes; Protopteridae
Source: RNAcentral